GAAUAUAAAAUUGCUAACUUAUUGUCACAAAAUAUCUUGAGUGGUAUUUCAACACCCUCUAGAAUGCGCAACCUAGUGACAAAAUUACAUAGCCAUAUUCCUUGAUUGAAUGUCUCAUAACAUGCUACAAACUUUGCUACCAUUGUCGAUGGAGCUACGAACGUUUGCUUGUCAAAUCUCCCAGAAAGUACUCCACUAGUCAACAAGUAAAUAUAGCCUGAUGUGGAU
Molecule: long non-coding RNA, 228 nt
Filed under: Citrus sinensis (sweet orange)
Lineage: Eukaryota; Viridiplantae; Streptophyta; Magnoliopsida; Sapindales; Rutaceae
Description: long non-coding RNA (CSIN_LNC000694)
Source: RNAcentral